UGAACCUAGGUUAUGAGAUGUAGUGGUAUUGAAUCUAGUGUGGUUAAACCAAGGUUGUGGAUUAUAGUGGUAGAAUAGCCACUAGGGUAUGUAUGAGUCGAAUCUAAAGAGGUUGACAAUAUAGGGUACAUGGUUAACCUUUGAGACUUGAAAAGUGGAUUCCGGAAUCACUAGAAUUGGUGGCUGCGAGUAUGUGUGGUUCUCCUCGCUCGGCAGCGGUUCAUAC
RNAcentral lists this long non-coding RNA (226 nucleotides) under Ananas comosus (pineapple). RNAcentral describes it as "long non-coding RNA (ACOM_LNC009886)". The record is from RNAcentral. Lineage: Eukaryota; Viridiplantae; Streptophyta; Magnoliopsida; Poales; Bromeliaceae.